CCUUCUGUAGCUCAAUUGGUAGAGCAUGUGACUGUAGAAAUAGCAGAUAUCACAGGGUCGCUGGUUCGAUUCCGGCCGGAAGGA
This 84-nucleotide transfer RNA is filed under the name Strigomonas culicis. It matches the Rfam family "tRNA". Rfam says of the family: Transfer RNA (tRNA) molecules are approximately 80 nucleotides in length. Their secondary structure includes four short double-helical elements and three loops (D, anti-codon, and T loops). Further hydrogen bonds mediate the characteristic L-shaped molecular structure. tRNAs have two regions of fundamental functional importance: the anti-codon, which is responsible for specific mRNA codon recognition, and the 3' end, to which the tRNAs corresponding amino acid is attached (by aminoacyl-tRNA synthetases). tRNAs cope with the degeneracy of the genetic code in two manners: having more than one tRNA (with a specific anti-codon) for a particular amino acid; and 'wobble' base-pairing, i.e. permitting non-standard base-pairing at the 3rd anti-codon position. Lineage: Eukaryota; Euglenozoa; Kinetoplastea; Trypanosomatida; Trypanosomatidae. The record is from Rfam by way of RNAcentral.